RNAcentral lists this ribosomal RNA (485 nucleotides) under marine sediment bacterium BB0608_AND_6.1_1S10. Its description in RNAcentral is "bacterial SSU rRNA". It matches the Rfam family "Bacterial small subunit ribosomal RNA", at positions 97 to 584 of the family's 1533-position model. The record is from RNAcentral.
GGCGGACGGGUGAGUAAUGCAUAGGAAUCUGCCCGAUAGUGGGGGAUAACCUGGGGAAACCCAGGCUAAUACCGCAUACGUCCUACGGGAGAAAGGGGGCUCCGGCUCCCGCUAUUGGAUGAGCCUAUGUCGGAUUAGCUAGUUGGUGAGGUAAAGGCUCACCAAGGCGACGAUCCGUAGCUGGUCUGAGAGGAUGAUCAGCCACAUCGGGACUGAGACACGGCCCGAACUCCUACGGGAGGCAGCAGUGGGGAAUAUUGGACAAUGGGCGAAAGCCUGAUCCAGCCAUGCCGCGUGUGUGAAGAAGGCCCUCGGGUUGUAAAGCACUUUCAGCGAGGAAGAACGCCUAAUGGUUAAUACCCAUUAGGAAAGACAUCACUCGCAGAAGAAGCACCGGCUAACUCCGUGCCAGCAGCCGCGGUAAUACGGAGGGUGCAAGCGUUAAUCGGAAUUACUGGGCGUAAAGCGCGCGUAGGUGGCUUGAU